RNAcentral lists this unclassified non-coding RNA (404 nucleotides) under uncultured soil eukaryote. RNAcentral describes it as "sequence contains 5.8S rRNA gene, ITS2, 28S rRNA gene". The record is from RNAcentral.
AACGCAUAUUGCGCCCGCAGCCUCGGCUCAGGGCAUGUCUGCCUCAGCGUCGUUUGUUUCUCACUCCACAACCCAGGUCUCUGUAUCAGGAUUUGGCUAUUCCAGCGGACGCCUCCCGUGUCGGACAGCUUGAUCCGCAGAACCAUGUGGUUGUAUGUGCAAGGCUAGCAUCUUGUGUACUGGAGUGGAUCUGGCUUUUCCCAAUGAGAAAUCAUGGGUCAGCUUAAAAUGAGACGCGAGCACACUGGACGUUUUGUCCUCAACUGGGCAGGUAGAUAAGUGGGAAAAUCGCCCGGAAAGCGAUGUUAUCUGCGUUGCACCAAGUUGUUGAAUGUGUGUUGGCCAUGCAGGAUACUAUAUUACUCAAUCGACUGAGCUCAGGCAAGACUACCCGCUGAACUUAA